CGCUGGCGGCGUGCCUAAUACAUGCAAGUCGAACGCUUUGUGGUUCAACUGAUUUGAAGAGCUUGCUCAGAUAUGACGAUGGACAUUGCAAAGAGUGGCGAACGGGUGAGUAACACGUGGGAAACCUACCUCUUAGCAGGGGAUAACAUUUGGAAACAGAUGCUAAUACCGUAUAACAAUGACAACCGCAUGGUUGUUAUUUAAAAGAUGGUUCUGCUAUCACUAAGAGAUGGUCCCGCGGUGCAUUAGCUAGUUGGUAAGGUAAUGGCUUACCAAGGCGAUGAUGCAUAGCCGAGUUGAGAGACUGAUCGGCCACAAUGGGACUGAGACACGGCCCAUACUCCUACGGGAGGCAGCAGUAGGGAAUCUUCCACAAUGGGCGAAAGCCUGAUGGAGCAACGCCGCGUGUGUGAUGAAGGGUUUCGGCUCGUAAAACACUGUUGUAAGAGAAGAAUGACAUUGAGAGUAACUGUUCAAUGUGUGACGGUAUCUUACCAGAAAGGAACGGCUAAAUACGUGCCAGCAGCCGCGGUAAUACGUAUGUUCCAAGCGUUAUCCGGAUUUAUUGGGCGUAAAGCGAGCGCAGACGGUUAUUUAAGUCUGAAGUGAAAGCCCUCAGCUCAACUGAGGAAUUGCUUUGGAAACUGGAUGACUUGAGUGCAGUAGAGGAAAGUGGAACUCCAUGUGUAGCGGUGAAAUGCGUAGAUAUAUGGAAGAACACCAGUGGCGAAGGCGGCUUUCUGGACUGUAACUGACGUUGAGGCUCGAAAGUGUGGGUAGCAAACAGGAUUAGAUACCCUGGUAGUCCACACCGUAAACGAUGAGUGCUAGGUGUUUGAGGGUUUCCGCCCUUAAGUGCCGCAGCUAACGCAUUAAGCACUCCGCCUGGGGAGUACGACCGCAAGGUUGAAACUCAAAGGAAUUGACGGGGACCCGCACAAGCGGUGGAGCAUGUGGUUUAAUUCGAAGCAACGCGAAGAACCUUACCAGGUCUUGACAUCCCUUGACAACUCCAGAGAUGGAGCGUUCCCUUCGGGGACAAGGUGACAGGUGGUGCAUGGUUGUCGUCAGCUCGUGUCGUGAGAUGUUGGGUUAAGUCCCGCAACGAGCGCAACCCUUAUUACUAGUUGCCAGCAUUCAGUUGGGCACUCUAGUGAGACUGCCGGUGACAAACCGGAGGAAGGUGGGGAUGACGUCAAAUCAUCAUGCCCCUUAUGACCUGGGCUACACACGUGCUACAAUGGCGUAUACAACGAGUUGCCAACCCGCGAGGGUGAGCUAAUCUCUUAAAGUACGUCUCAGUUCGGAUUGUAGGCUGCAACUCGCCUACAUGAAGUCGGAAUCGCUAGUAAUCGCGGAUCAGCACGCCGCGGUGAAUACGUUCCCGGGUCUUGUACACACCGCCCGUCACACCAUGAGAGUUUGUAACACCCAAAGCCGGUGGGGUAACCUUCGGGAGCCAGCCGUCUAAGGUGGGACAGAUGAUUUAGGGGUG
This 1495-nucleotide ribosomal RNA is filed under the name Weissella confusa. RNAcentral describes it as "bacterial SSU rRNA". It matches the Rfam family "Bacterial small subunit ribosomal RNA". Lineage: Bacteria; Bacillati; Bacillota; Bacilli; Lactobacillales; Lactobacillaceae. The record is from RNAcentral.